Molecule: long non-coding RNA, 318 nt
Filed under: Ananas comosus (pineapple)
Lineage: Eukaryota; Viridiplantae; Streptophyta; Magnoliopsida; Poales; Bromeliaceae
Description: long non-coding RNA (ACOM_LNC000971)
Source: RNAcentral
CAGCUAAAUCAUUCCCAUUUUCUACUUUAUGCUCUGAUACCAUCUUAUCUAUUACGCCCCGUGCCCCGCCUAUUUGGUCUGGUUCGUGCACGCCGACAGACCGCCGAACGGACAGAGUUUUCCCUAUACGUCCUAGGCGUCGCAAUCGAUACAAUGCAUGAGAUUCCAACCAGAAACACAUUUCAAUCAAAGAUUGCAUAAGGAAGUAUCAAAACAUAAAACGACUAAUUAUUACAAGCAUUCACAAACAUGCUUUUUACAUCACAAUUACUUAUUAUUUCCAAAACACAAUCUAAGUUAUUACAUUUAAUAUUACAA